Molecule: non-coding RNA, 30 nt
Filed under: Mus musculus (house mouse)
Lineage: Eukaryota; Metazoa; Chordata; Mammalia; Rodentia; Muridae
Source: RNAcentral
UGACUACAUUGCCUGUCUUUGGAUCCCUUU